Small nucleolar RNA from Aotus nancymaae (Ma's night monkey), 141 nucleotides. Its record names the gene SNORA70. It matches the Rfam family "Small nucleolar RNA SNORA70". Rfam says of the family: snoRNA U70 seems to be exclusive to mammals and is a member of the H/ACA class of snoRNA which contain H (ANANNA) and ACA box motifs. H/ACA box snoRNAs are involved in the conversion of uridines to pseudouridines (5-ribosyluracil) a constituent of structural RNAs (transfer, ribosomal, small nuclear, and small nucleolar). NCBI's taxonomy places the organism in Eukaryota, Metazoa, Chordata, Mammalia, Primates, Aotidae. The record is from Ensembl.
CUACAGUCAAUUAAGCCAAUCGUGUUCCUUUCCUUGCAAGGGCACAGUGUGCGAUGGCUGCGAAUGGCAGCCUUCUCGGAAGUGUGUGGCCCUGUUGCUUGUAUGCUGUAUGUGAUGCCCUGAGGAACCUUGGAGACAGCC